GCCUGGGUGGCUCAGUUGGUUAAGCAUCUGACUUCGGCUCAGGUCGUGAUCUUGCAGUUUGUGGGUUCAAGCCCCGCGUUGGGCU
This 85-nucleotide transfer RNA is filed under the name Felis catus (domestic cat). It matches the Rfam family "tRNA". Rfam says of the family: Transfer RNA (tRNA) molecules are approximately 80 nucleotides in length. Their secondary structure includes four short double-helical elements and three loops (D, anti-codon, and T loops). Further hydrogen bonds mediate the characteristic L-shaped molecular structure. tRNAs have two regions of fundamental functional importance: the anti-codon, which is responsible for specific mRNA codon recognition, and the 3' end, to which the tRNAs corresponding amino acid is attached (by aminoacyl-tRNA synthetases). tRNAs cope with the degeneracy of the genetic code in two manners: having more than one tRNA (with a specific anti-codon) for a particular amino acid; and 'wobble' base-pairing, i.e. permitting non-standard base-pairing at the 3rd anti-codon position. The record is from Rfam by way of RNAcentral. Lineage: Eukaryota; Metazoa; Chordata; Mammalia; Carnivora; Felidae. RNAcentral also lists the same sequence under 1 other name.